GACGAACGCUGGCGGCGUGCUUAACACAUGCAAGUCGAACGGAAAGGCCCUGCUUGCAGGGUGCUCGAGUGGCGAACGGGUGAGUAACACGUGGGUGAUCUGCCCCUUACUUUGGGAUAAGCCUGGGAAACUGGGUCUAAUACUGGAUAGGACCAUGCUGUAGGUGGUGUGGUGGAAAGAUUAGUUUCGGUAAGGGACGAGCUCGCGGCCUAUCAGCUUGUUGGUGGGGUAAUGGCCUACCAAGGCGUCGACGGGUAGCCGGCCUGAGAGGGUGGACGGCCACAUUGGGACUGAGAUACGGCCCAGACUCCUACGGGAGGCAGCAGUGGGGAAUAUUGCAAAAUGGGCGCAAGCCUGAUGCAGCGACGCCGCGUGGGGGAUGAAGGCCUUCGGGUUGUAAACUCCUUUCAGCCAUGACGAAGCCCUUGUGGUGACGGUAGUGGUAGAAGAAGCACCGGCUAACUACGUG
RNAcentral lists this ribosomal RNA (469 nucleotides) under uncultured bacterium. Its description in RNAcentral is "partial 16S ribosomal RNA". It matches the Rfam family "Bacterial small subunit ribosomal RNA", at positions 28 to 507 of the family's 1533-position model. The record is from RNAcentral.